GCCAGGCCGGGGAGCGACGACGCGAACUCUCCCCGUUCUCACUCACCGGCAUCAUCUCCGCAGCCUUCUCUGCGCCGGGCCCGCCGAGCUGUGCCGGCCUCUCCCGCCGCCGCCGCCUCUCACCGCGGAGGACGCCGCGCUCGCCCUGGCGGCUGUGACAGAUGAAGGUUCAGCCAGUGCAGCAGCCAGACAGACUGGAUACUGAGGGCUAGGAGGAAAUGUCUUCAAAAGAGACAAAAGGAGGAAAAUGAGCUUUCCAACCUUUUGAGAUCCAAGUGUUCUCCAGUUUUGCAUUCAUUUGUUAAGAUGCUUUUCCAGAGCAUAGGAAAAUUUUUUCACGCUUUGGAGGUGUCACAGGAAAGUAAUUUUGAAUUAAUGUAACACUUUUUUCUUUGCAUGUGGUAUUAUUUUAAAUAAAAGAUACUGCUAUUUAUAGCCA
Non-coding RNA from Lonchura striata (white-rumped munia), 439 nucleotides. The record is from RefSeq and is a predicted model, not a curated record. NCBI's taxonomy places the organism in Eukaryota, Metazoa, Chordata, Aves, Passeriformes, Estrildidae.